GACGAACGCUGGCGGCGUGCUUAACACAUGCAAGUCGAACGAUGAAGAAGAGAAACGCGAACUUCGGUUCAAAUUUCACUUCGGAUUAGUGGCAGACGGGUGAGUAACGCGUGAGCAACCUACCUCUUACAAAGGGAUAGCCUCGGGAAACCGUGAUUAAUACCAUAUGACACAUUCAUAAGGCAUCUUAAGAAUGUUAAAGCUACGGCGGUAAGAGAUGGGCUCGCGUCCCAUUAGCUAGUUGGUGAGGUAACGGCCCACCAAGGCGACGAUGGGUAACCGGCCUGAGAGGGUGAACGGUCACAUUGGAAAUGAGACACGGUCCAAACUCCUACGGGAGGCAGAAGUGGGGAAUAUUGCACAAUGGAGGGAACUCUGAUGCAGCGACGCCGCGUGAGCGAUGAAGGAAUUCGUUUCGUAAAGCUCUGUUCUAUGGGAAGAAAAGGACUGUACCAUAGGAGAAAGCCCCGGCUAAAUACGUG
This 482-nucleotide ribosomal RNA is filed under the name uncultured bacterium. RNAcentral's name for it is "partial 16S ribosomal RNA". It matches the Rfam family "Bacterial small subunit ribosomal RNA", at positions 28 to 507 of the family's 1533-position model. The record is from RNAcentral.